This 205-nucleotide unclassified non-coding RNA is filed under the name Hevea brasiliensis (rubber tree). The record is from RNAcentral. Lineage: Eukaryota; Viridiplantae; Streptophyta; Magnoliopsida; Malpighiales; Euphorbiaceae.
AUCUCAUCUUUUUCUUCUUCAUUUUUUUGCGUGCGUGUGGGUGUUUUGGUUUUAGGGGGCUGCGGAAGACCCUGGACAAGUUUCAGUCGGUUCUGCUCCAAGUCACUUUAAGCAGCAAUAGGUUUCUGGAUUUGUAAUUUGUAGGGUUUGUAUACGUGGAAAAUUACUGUGCCAUUGGCCGUAUGAAAUCCAGUUGCGUUGUUCA